CACUAAGUAUGUACUGACGCUGAUGAACGAAAGCGUGGGGAGCGAACGGGAUUAGAUACCCCGGUAGUCCACGCCGUAAACGAUGGACACUAGUUGUUGGGCAUUAGCUCAGUGACUAAGCGAAAGUGAUAAGUGUCCCACCUGGGGAGUACGGUCGCAAGAUUGAAACUCAAAGGAAUUGACGGGGGCCCGCACAAGCGGUGGAGCAUGUGGUUUAAUUCGAUGAUACGCGAGGAACCUUACCAGGGCUUAAAUGUAGGAUGCAUUAGACAGAGAUGUUUAUUUCUUCGGACUUCUUACAAGGUGCUGCAUGGUUGUCGUCAGCUCGUGCCGUGAGGUGUCAGGUUAAGUCCUAUAACGAGCGCAACCCCUAUUUUUAGUUGCUAACAGGUUAAGCUGAGGACUCUAGAGAGACUGCCGGUGCAAACCGCGAGGAAGGUGGGGAUGACGUCAAAUCAUCACGGCCCUUACGUCCUGGGCUACACACGUGCUACAAUGGUAAUGACAGAGGGCAGCUACCUGGCGACAGGAUGCGAAUCUUUAAACAUUAUCACAGUUCGGAUUGGAGUCUGCAACUCGACUCCAUGAAGCUGGAAUCGCUAGUAAUCGCAUAUCAGCCAUGAUGCGGUGAAUACGUUCCCGGGCCUUGUACACACCGCCCGUCAAGCCAUGGAAGCUGGGGGUGCCU
Molecule: ribosomal RNA, 688 nt
Filed under: Flavobacteriaceae bacterium Ae-B14
Lineage: Bacteria; Pseudomonadati; Bacteroidota; Flavobacteriia; Flavobacteriales; Flavobacteriaceae
Description: bacterial SSU rRNA
Rfam family: Bacterial small subunit ribosomal RNA
Source: RNAcentral